AGAGUUUGAUCCUGGCUCAGGAUCAACGCUGGCGGCGUGCCUAAUGCAUGCAAGUCGAGCGCGGGCCCCUUCGGGGGUGCUGCGCGGCGGACGGGUGCGUAACACGUGGGCAACCUGCCCUGGGGUGGGGGAUAGCCGUGGGAAACCGCGGGUAAUUCCGCAUACGUUGCUUCUUCGCCCGGGAGGAGCAAGAAAGGCGCUUCGGCGUCGCCCUUGGAGGGGCCUGCGGCCGAUUAGCUGGACGGUGGGGUCACGGCCUACCGUGGCGAUGAUCGGUAGCUGGUCUGAGAGGACGGCCAGCCACACGGGGACUGCGACACGGCCCCGACUCCUACGGGAGGCAGCAGCAAGGAAUCUUCCGCAAUGGGGGCAACCCUGACGGAGCAACGCCGCGUGGGGGAUGACGCCCUUCGGGGUGUAAACCCCUUUUCUGCGGGAAGAAGGUGGGGCAACCCACUUGACGGUACCGCAGGAAGAAGGACCGGCUAACUACGUGCCAGCAGCCGCGGUAAGACGGAGGAUGCAAGCGUUAUCCGGAAUGAUUGGGCGUAAAGCGUCCGCAGGUGGCAGUUCAAGUCUGCUGUCAAAGACCGGGGCUUAACUUCGGAAAGGCAGUGGAAACUGAACAGCUAGAGUAUGGUAGGGGCAGAGGGAAUUCCUGGUGUAGCGGUGAAAUGCGUAGAGAUCAGGAAGAACAUCGGUGGCGAAGGCGCUCUGCUGGACCAUAACUGACACUCAGGGACGAAAGCUAGGGGAGCGAAUGGGAUUAGAUACCCCCGUAGUCC
Molecule: ribosomal RNA, 785 nt
Filed under: uncultured soil bacterium
Lineage: Bacteria
Description: bacterial SSU rRNA
Rfam family: Bacterial small subunit ribosomal RNA
Source: RNAcentral